This 1302-nucleotide long non-coding RNA is filed under the name Anser brachyrhynchus (Pink-footed goose). RNAcentral's name for it is "lncRNA (ENSABRG00000023060.1)". Lineage: Eukaryota; Metazoa; Chordata; Aves; Anseriformes; Anatidae. The record is from RNAcentral.
AAACUGGGGGAUUAUUCAUAGAAUCAGUAGCAUUUAUCCUGAUAUUCCAGCAGGCAAUUCCAGAAAUCGCUUUUGUUCAGCUCAGUGCUCUCUAGAGGCAGAGGAACCCCCCAGAGACCUGAUAAAGGCCCAGCCAAAGGAAAAGCUUCAGCCUGAGCUUGCAACUGCGGGUUCUAGAUACACAGAAAAAUGGGUUUCCUUUGUGCCACUGUUCACCCAGCGAUUUGUUUUCUAUUAGGGUGCCCAUUUGUUUUCAGUUCACUAAGCAGAAGUGAUGAGAACUGUCAGCAGGUACAGCCCCCGUCCCAGACUGCUUUCUGGCACUUUAUCUGUCCUCACCUCCAAUUCUUUUUGCAGCCUUAUGGCCAGGAAGCGCUGUGCCAAGCUGACACCAGCAAGGAAAAGAACAAGAAGGGGAUUCCUGAGAAGACCCAAACUGGAAAAUCAGUCUACAAGAACAGUACAUAAGGGAAGUAAAAAACUCAGGAAAGACUAACAAGAAAUGGAAGACGUGUGAGAAGAGCAACAAGUCUUCACAAUACAACGCACGCUGGAUACACCCAGAGCAGGGGAGAACCAAAGUAAGCACAAGAAAUGAAAGAAUCCCAAGGAAAACCCACAUGAACCAUGGUCCAUGAACCCCCAUGGUUCAUGGGGCUCGUGGCUGGUGGGAGCAGUGACAGAGCUGUCCCCAGCUCACAGGCGGCACAGCGCUGGUGGCUCCUGCGAGCUCCUACUGGGGCACAGUGCUGAGACACCACUAGCCACAUCCUGCGGGACGAAGCUCAGGCCAGGAGAAAAAAAAAAUUAUAAUAACCAGGCAAUCAGCACUGGGUAGACUUUCUUCUUCUCUGAGUAACUGUAAUCUACUUACUGUGCAAAAUAUCUUGUGCUGGGAAGGCAUUGGUGUUAGACCCAUCAAAUGCGUAGAAGCUACUCACUCUUAUCAGGGCACAAUUAAGUCACUUAGUAACUAUCUAAGGCCAUUAGGUGAGAGGAUGUCAUGCUGUUUUUGGCAGUAAUUCAUUAGGUUGUCAUCGCCACUGCCCCGAGAGUACUUGGCAAGUAAUCUUCAAGAAAAAGGAAAGACCCUACCUAACGCUCAUAUCCCCCCUGAAAUAAGAUGUACGUCUACGGGUGUUUUCCGGGCUUCACACACACAACCCAAUGCACCCAAAUGAACUAACGCUGAACGUGGACGUGGUAAACCCUGAGUGUCCUCCCCAGGAAAGGUGCUUUACUGUGUUUUUUGUUUUUUUUUUUUACAAUAAAACGUGCAUCCAAAGCCUGGUAGGCUGGAAC